UACGAAGGGGGCUAGCGUUGUUCGGAAUUACUGGGCGUAAAGCGCGCGCAGGCGGUUCUUUAAGUCAGGGGUGAAAGCCCAGAGCUCAACUCUGGAAUUGCCUUUGAAACUAGAGAACUUGGGUACGGGAGAGGUGAGUGGAAUUCCGAGUGUAGAGGUGAAAUUCGUAGAUAUUGGGAAGAACACCGGUGGCGAAGGCGGCCAACUGGACCAUUUCUGACGCUGAGGCGCGAAAGCGUGGGGAGCAAACAGG
Molecule: ribosomal RNA, 253 nt
Filed under: uncultured bacterium
Lineage: Bacteria
Description: partial 16S ribosomal RNA
Rfam family: Bacterial small subunit ribosomal RNA
Source: RNAcentral